CUUACCAGUAAUAAAUAUUGAGUGGACGGUAUUUAACUCACUGCCCAAAAAAGCAAAUUCAAUAGCAGAGCCAGAACCAGACACCCAGCCCAAUUAUUCCCCCAUUUAUUCAAGUUCUUAGUUCGUGCCAGUCAUCACUGACACUAAGGAUGUAAAAAUUAUGCUGGCAUAAUCCUUGUCCUUCGGGUGCAAGGACAAGGAUAACAGGUAGGUUGGAAAAUGGAAAGAGAGCCAGGGAGAAGGAAACAGUUUUAAAAGUAAGGGGAGUCACCAGUAGCGAUGCCAAUGAGCAAAGGAAAACCGUAGUCAUUGCCAUAGAAACGGAGAAAACGUAGAAUAGGGCAGUGGAGGAAAGCAGGGCUUAAGCUUGUCCAUUUUCUGAAAAGUGUGGUCCCAGGGCCAGCAGCAACAGCAUCUCCUGGGGCCUUAUUAGAAAUUCAUAUCACUGGGUCCCACCCCAGUCUCCUGGAAAUCAGAAAUUCUGGCGGUGGGACCCAACCAUCUGUAUUUCCACACCUGCUCCUUCUUCCCUUCCUCCAGUCUCCUCAGCCCACCCCCACUCCCUACCACCACCACUAGAGUGUGAGUCUAACACCCGCUAAAGCUUGAGGACCACCAAUGUCAAAUUCAGUGAGUGGCAGAUUCUAAAUAACUGAGGAAGGCAAACCCACAGCAGAAAACCUGGCACAGAUGAGUCCCUGGCACCCCCUGGAAAGGCAUCCAUGAUAGAGACCCUCUCAAGAUAAGCUCCCACCGAAUGCUCUGCUCCUGUUGCAAAUUGAGAUCUGGGGCCAUUUAUGAUAUGCUAGUUCCAAAGGUAAGUUAAAUGCCUAUUGGAACAACUCCGAGCAAGUACCCUAUCGUCUAUAUUUCAGCCAUUCCCAGGAGAGCUGAGCUCAACAACAGCCAAAGUCCAUGAAUCCAGAGAACCAAGUAAAUUCCAGCCUGCACAGGGGCCUGGAUCAAGCAAUGACGCAAACAGUUAAGGUACUGCAGCUAGAAGAGCUCGCCAGGACCAACGUCAGAAGACAUCCAGAACUGAUAAUGAGCAGACCCAGGGGAGGUCUGCAGAGACUCAAAACUGAUGAAAUCCCUUUAAAAAGGGAAGGAUUUGGGCAACAAACCUUCAGACUCUUUGGACAUGACCCCUCUAUGUCUGACCACUUAAAAAAGGCAACAGCCACAGAAGACUCUACCCGAUGGAUCCCCAAACAGAAUCGAGACCCUUCGUUGCUGGAACAACCGAAGCAGCGAGGGCCAAGAGCUGACCUGGACCAGACCGAGGCCUUUCCUGAACUGCACACCCCCAGGCUGACUUCACGUUUGGUCCGUUCGCUUCCUGCACCCUUCUGUUACCUUGUUCGUCCUGCUCUGCGUGCUGUGUAAGAAGCCAAAUGUAAUCCCAUGGUGAAAGGUCAUUGAGUCUGGAAUCCUGAACCUGCUUGAUCAUUGUGAUUCAACUUUGCUUUAGUAUUCAAUAAAGCUGACAUCAUGGA
RNAcentral lists this long non-coding RNA (1496 nucleotides) under Mustela putorius furo (domestic ferret). RNAcentral's name for it is "lncRNA (ENSMPUG00000028046.1)". The record is from RNAcentral. Lineage: Eukaryota; Metazoa; Chordata; Mammalia; Carnivora; Mustelidae.